GAGUUGAUUCUGAUUUAUUAAUGGAUUUGUUGUAGGUUGUGUGACCAGAGUGGCAGAAAGAUGGCAGUAGGCAGAGGUCUUCCAAAAUGGCAAGAAUUUAUUCACCAAGGUGCAUGUUUCAACCA
Molecule: long non-coding RNA, 125 nt
Organism: Melanotaenia boesemani (Boeseman's rainbowfish)
Lineage: Eukaryota; Metazoa; Chordata; Actinopteri; Atheriniformes; Melanotaeniidae
Exons: 3
Source: RefSeq, a predicted model, not a curated record